Molecule: long non-coding RNA, 759 nt
Organism: Hypanus sabinus (Atlantic stingray)
Lineage: Eukaryota; Metazoa; Chordata; Chondrichthyes; Myliobatiformes; Dasyatidae
Exons: 3
Source: RefSeq, a predicted model, not a curated record
UGCUCAUUUGCUUGUCUAUGGUGACAACAGAUUAGAUUAACUUAAUUUGCCACGGAUACACCAAAACAGUGGAAAAUACAGUCAAAUACGUCGUCUGAGGACGUGGUGGAGGUAGCUUUCACGUGUCUCCAUGUUCUGCACCAACAUAACAGAACCGUGAUUUACUAACCCUACCUUGGAAUGCGGGAGGAAACUGAAGCACGCAGGCAUGCUUCCUAUCUGAACUUGUCUUAAGUCAUAUCACUUUCUCGUCAGUGGUGAGAGUUCAGUGCUUCAGGUGAUCGAUUUCAGCACCUGUGUUGCAAGAUGUCAGGUAUCUGCAUUUUAUUGGGAAUAUUGAGAAAGAGUGGGACCUUGGUGUAGAAGUCAGCAAUCCCUGAAGAUGGCAGCAGAGGGUUCUUUUGAAGACCCUGACCUGGAGUAAAAAGCUGACCAUGGUUCCUUGGGAGGAUGGGACCCGCUCUUGGGGUUUCACAACUGGCUGUUAUUUGGCAUGCCAAAGGAAGAGUUCAGCUCGCCUUCGGAGGGCUGAGAUCUCAUGGCUCUGGAGAUUGGUGUGUCGUGGGAGUCAGACUAUCUCUGGCUGUGUGGUGAACUAUGUGCCUGUCUGGACAUGCCCCCUGCUGACUGCUCCUGUGGCUCCUCCCACCGGCCCCUGUAUAAAGGCGAUCUGAGGCCUGACGCUCGGCCUCAGUCUCCAGGUCAUAGUAUGAUGGACACUCACUCCUGGUUCCUUCUUCCAGUCAAUAAAAGCCGAUA